AUGCAAGUCGAACGGAAACGAUACUAGCUUGCUAGUAGGCGUCGAAUGGCGGACGGGUGAGUAACGCGUAGGAAUCUACCUGAUAGUGGGGGAUAGCCCGAAGAAAUUCGGAUUAAUACCGCAUAAUCUAUUCGUAGUAAAGUGGGGGACUUUCGAGCCUCACGCUAUCAGAUGAGCCUGCGUAAGAUUAGCUAGUUGGUAGGGUAAAAGCCUACCAAGGCGACGAUCUUUAGCUGGUCUGAGAGGAUGAUCAGCCACAUCGGGACUGAGACACGGCCCGAACUCCUACGGGAGGCAGCAGUGGGGAAUAUUGGACAAUGGGGGCAACCCUGAUCCAGCAAUACCGCGUGUGUGAAGAAGGCCUGAGGGUUGUAAAGCACUUUCAAUUGUGAAGAAAAGCUAGCGGUUAAUAGCCGUUAGCCUUGACGUUAACUUUAGAAGAAGCACCGGCUAACUCCGUGCCAGCAGCCGCGGUAAUACGGAGGGUGCAAGCGUUAAUCGGAAUUACUGGGCGUAAAGCGUGCGUAGGCGGUUUAUUAAGUCAGAUGUGAAAGCCCCGGGCUUAACCUGGGAACUGCAUUUGAAACUGGUCAACUAGAGUAUGGUAGAGGAAAGUGGAAUUUCUGGUGUAGCGGUGAAAUGCGUAGAUAUCAGAAGGAACAUCAAUGGCGAAGGCAACUUUCUGGACCAAUACUGACGCUGAGGUACGAAAGCGUGGGUAGCAAACAGGAUUAGAUACCCUGGUAGUCCACGCCGUAAACGAUGAUAACUAGCCGUUGGGGGGAUUUACCCUUAGUGGCGAAGCUAACGCGUUAAGUUAUCCGCUGGGG
RNAcentral lists this ribosomal RNA (830 nucleotides) under uncultured Gammaproteobacteria bacterium. Its description in RNAcentral is "bacterial SSU rRNA". It matches the Rfam family "Bacterial small subunit ribosomal RNA", at positions 55 to 877 of the family's 1533-position model. Lineage: Bacteria; Pseudomonadati; Pseudomonadota; Gammaproteobacteria. The record is from RNAcentral.